GGGGAAUUUUCCGCAAUGGGCGAAAGUCUGACGGAGCAAUGCCGCGUGGAGGAUGACACUUCUAGGAGCGUAAACUCCUUUUCUGUGGGACGAUAUCAGACGGUACCACAGGAAUAAGCACCGGCUAACUACGUGCCAGCAGCAGCGGUAAUACGUAGGGUGCAAGCGUUAACCGGAAUUACUGGGCGUAAAGCGUGCGUAGGCGGCUUGGCAAGUCUGUUGUUAAAGCCCGGUGCUCAACAUCGGAAUCGCAACGGAUACUGCCUGGCUGGAGAGAAUGAGGGGAGAACGGAAUUCCCGGUGUAGCGGUAAUAUGCAUUGAUAUCGGGAGGAACACCAGAAGCGAAGGCGGUUCUCUGGCAUUUUUCUGACGCUAAGGCACGAAGGCUAGGGUAGCGAAAGGGAUUAGAUACCCCUGUAGUC
RNAcentral lists this ribosomal RNA (423 nucleotides) under uncultured cyanobacterium. Its description in RNAcentral is "bacterial SSU rRNA". It matches the Rfam family "Bacterial small subunit ribosomal RNA", at positions 356 to 795 of the family's 1533-position model. Lineage: Bacteria; Bacillati; Cyanobacteriota. The record is from RNAcentral.